CCUUCGAUAGCUCAGCUGGUAGAGCGGAGGACUGUAGACCCUUAGGUCGCUGGUUCGAUUCCGGCUCGAAGGA
RNAcentral lists this transfer RNA (73 nucleotides) under Xenopus tropicalis (tropical clawed frog). Its description in RNAcentral is "tRNA-Tyr (GTA) (tRNA-Tyr-GTA-13-1)". It matches the Rfam family "tRNA". Rfam says of the family: Transfer RNA (tRNA) molecules are approximately 80 nucleotides in length. Their secondary structure includes four short double-helical elements and three loops (D, anti-codon, and T loops). Lineage: Eukaryota; Metazoa; Chordata; Amphibia; Anura; Pipidae. The record is from RNAcentral.